RNAcentral lists this ribosomal RNA (253 nucleotides) under uncultured bacterium. RNAcentral describes it as "partial 16S ribosomal RNA". It matches the Rfam family "Bacterial small subunit ribosomal RNA", at positions 524 to 776 of the family's 1533-position model. The record is from RNAcentral.
UACAGAGGGGGCGAGCGUUGUUCGGAAUUACUGGGCGUAAAGGGCGCGUAGGCGGCCGCCUAAGUCAGACGUGAAAUCCCUCGGCUCAACCGGGGAACUGCGUCUGAUACUGGGUGGCUUGAAUCCGGGAGAGGGAUGCGGAAUUCCAGGUGUAGCGGUGAAAUACGUAGAUAUCUGGAGGAAUACCGGUGGCGAAGGCGGCAUCCUGGACCGGCAUUGACGCUGAUGAGCGAAAGCUAGGGGAGCAAACGGG